Long non-coding RNA from Mustela erminea (ermine), 81 nucleotides. RefSeq lists it as uncharacterized. The record is from RefSeq and is a predicted model, not a curated record. The transcript has 3 exons. Lineage: Eukaryota; Metazoa; Chordata; Mammalia; Carnivora; Mustelidae.
CAGUAUAGUUAAUAAUGAAAAACUGAAAGCUUUUUCUAAUACCAAGAACAAGACAAGUAUGUCCACUCUGGCCACUUUUAU